GGCAAAUGGGGUUGGAAAGCAAAUUCCACCUUCAGCCCCUGCCUCAGGAUAACACAUCCCAGAAAAUAGACAUUCUGACAAGUUAGAACUGGAAGAAAAUAGCUUUAUUAUCUCUGUCAUGACUGAGAAGUAUCUUUUUACCCACAAUCCAUCCUUCUUUAUCAUCUAUAGUUACCUUCUCUCAGUCUCCUUUGUGAGUCUUUGGACUUUACACACAUUUAUGCCCAUUAACAGAUACACAGGUAUACAUUAUAGGAUCUACAUGUGAGGGAGAAUCUGGAAGGUUCUUUCUGAGCUUGGGUCACCUUAGUUGAUAUUAAGGGUUGAAGGUGGGGGAGGUUCAGCAUUUGGAGGCUACGGCAGAAGAUUUUGAAAUUCCAGACCAGUCUUGGCUGAAUAAAAAGACCUUGCUCAAGAGCAAAAAAUAAAUUAAUGUCUUCAGUGAAAAUAUCCAGAAGCAAGUUUCUCAUAAAAAAAGGAACAAACCUUCUACUGGGUAUGUGUUUGAUUAUCAGUCUAAAUAAGGAGAUAGGAUUGUGGGCUUUGAGGUUAGAGAAAAUUCCAGAUCUAGUCUGUCAUGAAGGCAGAGCAGAACACACUAUUGUUCCUGGUGCCGCAGACCUGUAGGGACUUCAUAAACCUUCAUCUCAUCAGUGGGUAAAAGCAUAAACAGUGUAAAGCUGUAACAUCGUAAGCCAAGGACUCAGUUUUGUAGAUCUACCCAUGGUUCCCCCUGGUGACUUCUUCAGAAUACAAAAAUGUUUAUUUUUGUGUUGCCUCUUGGAUCUUCCCCUUGUAUUUCUAGGUUACCUGUUCAGAACAUUGCUUACAGAAAUAUUUAAAAAUGACACAGAGAAUAUCCAUGAGAUUUCAGGAAUAUCACAUUCAGCAGAAUGAAGCCCUGGCAGCCAAAGCAGGCCUCUUAGGCCAACCACGGUAGAGGCCGGAGGCACGGACUUGCACUGAGAGAUUGCCAGCAGCUGUCACAGUCAGAACAAGGAUUCGUCUGGUGGAGAAUCCCCUGACACAGCAAGCGCCGUGGUACAUCAUCUGUCAUGACUACCUGGCCAACGGAAACCACCGGAGAAAAAAUCACUGUUCACCAGAAAGAGUCAAAACAGAAGGCCUUUCUGUGCAGUAGAAAUGGUAAGAUGCAGUGUUGUUGAGGCCUUAAGAUUCGUCUGCGUGGUCACCAUGAUUGCAAAAAUAAACCACUGUUCUUUUCUUUGUGACUGUUAAUUUUAAAAGCAAAAUAUGUGUCCAAUCAUGUAUGAGAUAGAAAAAAUUUAUUACUAAAAGUAAAAUAAGUGAAAAUAUC
RNAcentral lists this long non-coding RNA (1318 nucleotides) under Rattus norvegicus (Norway rat). Its description in RNAcentral is "long non-coding RNA NONRATT025094". Lineage: Eukaryota; Metazoa; Chordata; Mammalia; Rodentia; Muridae. The record is from RNAcentral.